UCCAGACUCCUACGGGAGGCAGCAGUAGGGAAUAUUGCUCAAUGGGGGGAACCCUGAUGCAGCGACGCCGCGUGGGUGAAGGAGCGUUUCGGCGCGUAAAGCCCUAUCGGCAGGGAAGAAGGAGGACGGUACCUGACUAAGAAGCCCCGGCUAACUACGUGCCAGCAGCCGCGGUAAUACGUAGGGGGCAAGCGUUAUCCGGAUUUACUGGGUGUAAAGGGGGCGCAGACGGCAGCGCAAGCCAGGAGUGAAAGCCCGGGGCCCAACCCCGGGACUGCUCUUGGAACUGCGCGGCUGGAGUGCAGGAGGGGCAGGCGGAAUUCCUGGUGUAGCGGCGAAAUGCGUAGAUAUCAGGAGGAACACCGGUGGCGAAGGCGGCCUGCUGGACUGCGACUGACGUUGAGGCCCGAAAGCGUGGGGAGCAAACAGGAUUAGAUACCCCCGUA
This 446-nucleotide ribosomal RNA is filed under the name uncultured bacterium. Its description in RNAcentral is "partial 16S ribosomal RNA". It matches the Rfam family "Bacterial small subunit ribosomal RNA", at positions 330 to 792 of the family's 1533-position model. The record is from RNAcentral.